AGCUUGCUCUUAUGAAGUUAGCGGCGGACGCGGUGAGUAACACGUGGGUAACCUGCCCAUAAGACUGGGAUAACUCCGGGAAACCGGGGCUAAUACCGGAUAACAUUUUGAACCGCAUGGUUCGAAAUUGAAAGGCGGCUUCGGCUGUCACUUAUGGAUGGACCCGCGUCGCAUUAGCUAGUUGGUGAGGUAACGGCUCACCAAGGCAACGAUGCGUAGCCGACCUGAGAGGGUGAUCGGCCACACUGGGACUGAGACACGGCCCAGACUCCUACGGGAGGCAGCAGUAGGGAAUCUUCCGCAAUGGACGAAAGUCUGACGGAGCAACGCCGCGUGAGUGAUGAAGGCUUUCGGGUCGUAAAACUCUGUUGUUAGGGAAGAACAAGUGCUAGUUGAAUAAGCUGGCACCUUGACGGUACCUAACCAGAAAAGCCACGGCUAACUACGUGCCAGCAGCCGCGGUAAUACGUAGGUGGCAAAGCGUUAUCCGGAAUUAUUGGGCGUAAAGCGCGCGCAGGUGGUUUCUUAAGUCUGAUGUGAAAGCCCACGGCUCAACCGUG
RNAcentral lists this ribosomal RNA (560 nucleotides) under Bacillus cereus. RNAcentral describes it as "bacterial SSU rRNA". It matches the Rfam family "Bacterial small subunit ribosomal RNA", at positions 77 to 617 of the family's 1533-position model. Lineage: Bacteria; Bacillati; Bacillota; Bacilli; Caryophanales; Bacillaceae. The record is from RNAcentral.